UACGGAGGGUGCGAGCGUUGUCCGGAAUCACUGGGCGUAAAGGGCGCGUAGGCGGCAUGCCAAGCGUGUGGUGAAAGCCCGGGGCUCAACCCCGGGUCGGCCGUGCGGACUGGCGUGCUCGAGCACUGUAGGGGCGGGUGGAAUUCCGGGUGUAGCGGUGGAAUGCGUAGAGAUCCGGAAGAACACCAAUGGCGAAGGCAGCUCUCUGGGACGGUACUGACGCUGAGACGCGAAAGCGUGGGGAGCGAACAGG
Molecule: ribosomal RNA, 253 nt
Filed under: uncultured bacterium
Lineage: Bacteria
Description: partial 16S ribosomal RNA
Rfam family: Bacterial small subunit ribosomal RNA
Source: RNAcentral